UCGAAUGGGUUAAGGAAAUGGUAGCCAGCCAUCGCGGGGAAGAUCUUGUUGAUCCCUUGAUUGCAGUUCAGCCCCCUCCUAGAGCUCUGAAGAGGGUUUUGCUGAUCUGUCUGCGCUGUAUCGACUUAGAGGCCACCAAACGACCGAAGAUGGGGCAAAUUGUUCACAUGCUCGAGACAGAGGAUUUCGCUUUCCGCACUGAACACCGGCCAGCUCGAGAGAAAGAUCCACUUCUAUCGAGGGGGGUCGCUUCGCAUGACAUUCAUCCGGAUAGAUCGAGGUGGCGAUAACGCAUGUUGCUGGACUCGCGGGUUCACCGUCUUGCGGCCUAAGUCAAUUCAUACAAGAAACAGAUUCUUGGAUAACUUUAAUGGGUAUACAACACAUAUCUUGUGUCUCUUGUCUUGCUUCUAAUGUAUUAUUUCACCUGUAAAUGCUGGAAAUUUCUCCCGUUUUAGUUCGAUAAAAGCCGUGUAAAUUUGUCGGCUCGACGGACAGACUUAAGUGGAGAGGAGUGUCUCACAUUUUAUUGCAGUGAUUCUUAACAUACUGGGAA
Molecule: long non-coding RNA, 556 nt
Organism: Eucalyptus grandis
Lineage: Eukaryota; Viridiplantae; Streptophyta; Magnoliopsida; Myrtales; Myrtaceae
Exons: 2
Source: RefSeq, a predicted model, not a curated record